AUCCCUUCUAUAAUCUGCUGGCAGCAAAAUUGCAGGAAGUGUUGCGACAGCUACUGCAAUUACUUCUUCGUUGGGAGCGGAUUAUACUGGAUGGAGUGCCGAAAAUAAGUUUUAUCGAUAUCGAUAUAGGAAAAAACUUUGUUAUGGAUCUUCGUAAGAAUCGAUGUUGUUGCUUCAGUGACACUCAGCAUUCUUCCUACGCCUCGGGAGUUUAUACUCUCAUCUUAUCUGCAUGUGGAAUUGCUUAUUUAGCUAGUACAAUUGCCUAUACUCCCAAUAGUCUACAUCAUGAAAUAGGUAAUCAUUUUGAAUAUAAAACUGGUAGUAUUUCUGCAUUAGUUUUUUUUAUAUUACUACUGAUGUUCAGUCUGAAAUUAUUAUAUGGGAUUCAAACGGUAGAUUUCUUUCCCAAUCUGUGGAAUUUUAUUAAAACUGUUCCAUUCUUUAUAUUUCCAUAAAUUCUUUAGGGAAAACGAUUAAUGUUUGUUCCUUGGAUGGUGUGCAUCGUCAUCAUUAUAGUAUUGCAGAGUGCUGCACUUUUCAUGUACUUAGUAAAUAUGUACAAUAUUAUGGACCGGCAUCAAUUUGGCCUUUUAAUGAUAAUGAUUGGUAUGUUAGGAGUGAAUGUUGGAUGCUUUAUCCUAGUCAAUACUUACUAUCAGGUCUUAAGAUUGGGUUUAAAAGAGUAUAGCCCACUGGUAUACACAAUUAUGUAAUAUUUUAAACAUUCUGGAUUCAGAAAUUCUUCAUCGUGAUUUAUAUGAUAUAUAUAAUUUGGUUAUGUUUCACUAUUUUGGUAUCAAUAAAAAAUGACAAUGAUUAACUAUCAAUAUUUUAAAAAAAUUAAUGUCUAAUAAUCUAUUAUAAUCCAAAUAAUUCUAGUGGAUUAUUUUGGAAUUACUAUACAUUGUAAUUAAUAUAAUAAUGUCUAUUAUCCAAGGUAAGGUGCACCAAGAAUAAUCUCGGAUUAUCAAACUCUAACAUGGAUUGUUUAAUCGAUUAAGUAGGAUUCUACUUUGACUGCCUCAUGUUUUCGUGGGGUAAACGUGUAGUUUAGUCCAGU
RNAcentral lists this long non-coding RNA (1063 nucleotides) under Androctonus crassicauda. Lineage: Eukaryota; Metazoa; Arthropoda; Arachnida; Scorpiones; Buthidae. The record is from RNAcentral.